RNAcentral lists this ribosomal RNA (253 nucleotides) under uncultured bacterium. Its description in RNAcentral is "partial 16S ribosomal RNA". It matches the Rfam family "Bacterial small subunit ribosomal RNA", at positions 524 to 776 of the family's 1533-position model. The record is from RNAcentral.
UACGUAGGGUGCGAGCGUUAAUCGGAAUUACUGGGCGUAAAGCGUGCUCAGGCGGUUUCGUAAGACAGGCGUGAAAUCCCCGGGCUCAACCUGGGAACUGCGCUUGUGACUGCGAGGCUAGAGUGUGUCAGAGGGAGGUGGAAUUCCACGUGUAGCAGUGAAAUGCGUAGAGAUGUGGAGGAACACCGAUGGCGAAGGCAGCCUCCUGGGAUAACAAUGACGCUCGUGCACGAAAGCGUGGGGAGCAAACAGG